UAGCUCAGUUGGUAGAGCAUGAGACUCUUAAUCUCAGGGUCAUGGAUUCAGGCCCCCAU
This 59-nucleotide transfer RNA is filed under the name Cricetulus griseus (Chinese hamster). It matches the Rfam family "tRNA", at positions 8 to 63 of the family's 71-position model. Rfam says of the family: Transfer RNA (tRNA) molecules are approximately 80 nucleotides in length. Their secondary structure includes four short double-helical elements and three loops (D, anti-codon, and T loops). Further hydrogen bonds mediate the characteristic L-shaped molecular structure. tRNAs have two regions of fundamental functional importance: the anti-codon, which is responsible for specific mRNA codon recognition, and the 3' end, to which the tRNAs corresponding amino acid is attached (by aminoacyl-tRNA synthetases). tRNAs cope with the degeneracy of the genetic code in two manners: having more than one tRNA (with a specific anti-codon) for a particular amino acid; and 'wobble' base-pairing, i.e. permitting non-standard base-pairing at the 3rd anti-codon position. Lineage: Eukaryota; Metazoa; Chordata; Mammalia; Rodentia; Cricetidae. The record is from Rfam by way of RNAcentral.